This 275-nucleotide ribosomal RNA is filed under the name uncultured bacterium. Its description in RNAcentral is "partial 16S ribosomal RNA". It matches the Rfam family "Bacterial small subunit ribosomal RNA", at positions 523 to 796 of the family's 1533-position model. The record is from RNAcentral.
AGACGGAGGGCGCAAGCGUUGUUCGGAAUUACUGGGCGUAAAGGGCAGGUAGGUGGUCUGUUAAGUCUUCUGUGAAAACCCGGGGCUCAACCCCGCGGAAUGCAGGUGAAACUGGCAGACUUGAGACCGGUAGAGGCUAGCGGAAUUCCUGGUGUAGCGGUGGAAUGCGUAGAUAUCAGGAAGAACACCUGUGGCGAAGGCGGCUAGCUGGGCCGGUUCUGACACUGAACUGCGAAAGCGUGGGGAGCAAACAGGAUUAGAUACCCUGGUAGUCC